Long non-coding RNA from Ornithodoros turicata, 604 nucleotides. RefSeq lists it as uncharacterized. Lineage: Eukaryota; Metazoa; Arthropoda; Arachnida; Ixodida; Argasidae. The record is from RefSeq and is a predicted model, not a curated record. The transcript is spliced from 2 exons.
UAUAUAGUUGCUGGUUGCUUGCAGACUUCGUUGUGCAUCUGUUCACGAACGUGUGUUGGUGGACACUGGAGUAUUCGCAAGUUAGAACCCGCUGCAAAGUUAACCCCUUUUUGGGACCUUCCAGCCUCGGCGGUUGAAGCGUUCUAUCCUCCGAGGCAAGGUAUCGAUCAAAAAGGCUUCUUUUUUCCCGGCGAAAGAGGGUGGGGAAGAUUGGAUGCCACCCUCUUGUUGCUGUGGUAGUUGGUUCAUUUAUUACGUGGAGCAGACGGGCGGAGUUGGCUCAAAAGUGGGACGACUUCAAGAUCGUGCUCCCUGCAGAGCUGCUUUUCGGGAGAGAGAGUUUCGCCCAAAUCAAUCGACUUUUGCAACGGCACGGAAGCAACACAGACUCGGUUCAAAUUCGAGCUAGUUAUUCGAGAGUCUGCUGGAACGUGAGCGUGUCGUAUGUACCUUCCGUGUGCGACUGGAUUGUGCACGUUGAGAGUGGGCUCACCAAUCUCCGCAUUUUGUUUCUCGAGAAAUCACGUAAAUUUCAGACUAUAUCAAAUAGGGUUAAAAAUCGGGCGGUUCGGUAGUCCAUAAAUUAAAAAAAAAAACGAAUAAA